GAUGAACGCUAGCGACAGGCCUAACACAUGCAAGUCGAGGGGCAGCGAGGAUGUAGCAAUACAUUUGUCGGCGACCGGCGCACGGGUGAGUAACGCGUAUGCAACCUACCCGACACAGGGGGAUAACCCGGAGAAAUCCGGACUAAUACCGCAUAAAACAGGGGUCCCGCAUGGGAAUAUUUGUUAAAGAGUUAUCGGUGUCGGAUGGGCAUGCGUUCCAUUAGCUAGUUGGUGAGGUAACGGCUCACCAAGGCAACGAUGGAUAGGGGUUCUGAGAGGAAGGUCCCCCACACUGGUACUGAGACACGGACCAGACUCCUACGGGAGGCAGCAGUGAGGAAUAUUGGUCAAUGGACGGAAGUCUGAACCAGCCAAGUCGCGUGAAGGAAGACGGUUCUAUGAAUUGUAAACUGCUUUUGUACAAGGGUAAACCCUGGGACGCGU
This 444-nucleotide ribosomal RNA is filed under the name uncultured bacterium. RNAcentral's name for it is "bacterial SSU rRNA". It matches the Rfam family "Bacterial small subunit ribosomal RNA", at positions 28 to 463 of the family's 1533-position model. The record is from RNAcentral.